GCAGACUGUAAAUUUGUUGAAAUAAUUUUUACGUAGGUCCAAAUCCUACUUUCUCC
RNAcentral lists this transfer RNA (56 nucleotides) under Phytophthora nemorosa. Its description in RNAcentral is "partial tRNA-Tyr". Lineage: Eukaryota; Oomycota; Peronosporomycetes; Peronosporales; Peronosporaceae. The record is from RNAcentral.